Non-coding RNA from Leptonychotes weddellii (Weddell seal), 3116 nucleotides. NCBI's taxonomy places the organism in Eukaryota, Metazoa, Chordata, Mammalia, Carnivora, Phocidae. The record is from RefSeq and is a predicted model, not a curated record.
AAAAAUAAAAAUCUUUAAAAUUCAAGCUCCUCAAGGAGGGGUGACUCUUCAAAACAAGGGCAGAUGGCAGGCUGUGUCAAAAAAUUACCAACGUCAGGACCAAAAAGACAUGAUUGUACCAUAAUAUGUACAUUUUAGAUGGUGAGGACAUUUAGUAAGUAUCAUUUACUCUUCCCCUCGGUAUUGUUUGUUGCCCGGCAUCCGUUUGUACUCUGAACAGGGGUGUUAUUUUAGGCCAACCCUCUCCCAGUGGCCGGUCCCUCCAGAUCCGUUGGCUCCAGCUUUUCCUGUCCCUGGUACAUCCUCAACAUUUCUCCCCUCUGUCCACUCUUCGCUCUCGCGCGGCUGCUUGAGUUUAGGCUCGGAGAGCUUACUGUCUGGAUGCCUGCUACCCCAGAGGGAGCACAGGACCCCAGGGAGAGUGGAGGGGGCUCUCUCAGGUCCUCCCUCUGCCCACAGGCAACAGAGCAUCUGCGAAGAGGCAGCCACCUCUCACUGCUCCGGGACUGCCUUCCCAAAGGCGGCCGAGUACUCCUGCUUUCAGCUUCCUCACUGACCAUCUGUGAUUUCUUUCCAGAAAAGUACUGCCAUUCCUUCACCUGGUGGAAGCCAGAAGAGGAGAGGGCGCUGGGUCCUGAGGGUCCCAGGCCGGUUCUCCCCUGUCAUUUUCCUCUGCAUCUCUUUCCCCUGCCUGAAGGAUUUCUACGUAUCCAUCCUGCCUGGUGGGAAUUCCUCUAACCUCGUAUCUUCCUUCUCCUCGAGAACAGCUGCCUCAAAGCUCCGCUACAGCCGUUCCCAUCCCUCCUCUUGGUCCUCCCUUCCCGCCUUCCAGAGUGAGGAUGCAUCCUUUGACUCUGCUCAGCAAACCUAGGAUGGGGACAAGGGACGCGUGCAGUUGAGGAAGUAAGGGACGAAAACAGUCGCUACCCUCAAGGAACUUCUGAUUUCGUGGGGAGAUACGGACAGCCCCGGAUUCCCGAGAUCCCGGGCCCGCGCGCCCCCUGCUGGCCGUGCCUCGUCUGCGCAGCCUUUUCCCUCGGGAGCUGCAGGAGGCCCAACUAGGGACUUUCUUCCACGGAGGUACCCCCCCUCCCCCUGGCGUGCUAUUGCUGUAAACAGGACUCCGGUGGUCUGCUAUCAAAUCUCAGAACUCCUCAAAGCUGUAAAACAGGCAAAUGCACAAAGAAGGAUCUGGGACCUGCACUCGAUGUCCACCCUCUGGCCACGUCUGAUCCGCGAAGCCUCUCCGCUGCAGGCUGGCUGGAGCCCUGGUGAAAGGUGGCUUCUCUUCCAUCUAGGCAGCUAUGACGAGAGAAGUGCCCCACUUGAGGCCGGUUGAAAGGAAGCUGGGCUGUGGAUGCAGCUGACAUCUAGGAAGGAAGGCAGAGCUGAGAGAAUAGCAGAAUAUGGUGCUAGAGCCCUGAUCAUGCAAUGCCUGAAGCCUGAACUACCCCAGUUACCUCUGAAGGAGCUAAUAAAUCACCUUGUAUUUCAAGCCAAUUUUGAUAGGGCUUUCUGACCCUUGUGGCCAAAAACACUCUAACAUAUGCAGUCUGCAUGGUGUUAGGAGUUUGGUUUUAACCCCAAGAAGAGUGGAAUGUCAUUUUGAGGUUUCAGCACGGAGAGCCCAGGGAGAGGGUAAACGAGUCAGAUCUGCAUUUCAAAGCAUGUCUUUGGCAGCAGGGUGGAAACGGGUUAGUAGGGAGCUGAAGUGGCUGCAGUUAGGGGCCUUACUGUGCUAGUCCUGGUGAGAGGUUAUAGAGGAGAGAAGAGAUCUGGGAGAUUUUCAGGAAAUUGGGUAACUUUGGUAGAAGUCAGUAAGGUAGUAGGGUUGACAAGCCUUAGUGAUGGUUUGGGGGGAGAGGAUGGGGGUGUCAGGGGUGACCUCUCGGUUUGUGACUUGCUCAGCUGGAUGGAUAGGGGUGCUACCCACCAUGACAGGGCUCUUGUUGAGGAAAAAAGAUUGAACACUGAGAGUGUCAGGUUGCUGGAGAAGCCGGACUUCAGCUGGAGAAGCAACAGCCGUGCUAGCCGUUAACCGACUGUGUUUACCUGGAUAAACUCAGGAGCACAAUGGCCUCAUUGCCACUUUACAGAUGAGGAAACCGAGGCAUGGAGAGGUUAGUAACUUCUCUCAGGCCAUACAAUCAGCUAGAAAAUGAGAUUUGAACCCAAGCUGUUUGUCCCCAUGAAGCACCCAAGGAAUAUACGCACCAGGAAGGUUCAGAUGAGAAACAGCAGGUAGUACGGUACUAUUUUCUGAGGCCUGAGCCCCCACCUCCAAAGCAGAGCACUCUAGGAAGCUGGAUUUUAAUUCCUGGCCCAGCUCCCCUUUCCUAAGUCAGUUAACACCUCGGUGGCUUCUGACUAAGCAGCCUGGAUCCAUAUCCCAGGGCCAGCCCCCCUAGCGGAGCCUCUGCCCCAGCCGCCCAGGGACCACAGCUUCAGCCUGCUGCUGUCAGCAGGGUGGAAGGGUGCCAGGCAGAAGGAAGGCAUGGGUGAGCCCGCUCAGGGGCAGGGCCAGCCUACACUGCGGUCACCCAGAAAGGGAGAAAGGAGAGAGCCAUCCUGGGUGCUCCGGGUCCUUGGAAAGCACCGCCAUUAGAAGUCUGUGCCCUGGAGUCGAUCCAUUCUCCUCUGCACCUAUGGGGAUGUACUUCUUCAUCCUGGCUUGCCUUGUCAACACACAGUGCCAAGCAAUGUCCUCAGCAGCAGCCUUCCAGUGACAGAGCUUUCCUGAGCCCUGUCCUAGAGCAUCCCUCCGUGGAGAGGACUGCAGGGGCCAGUCCGGCACCAAGGCUCCUGAAUGCGGGGGAGACGGACACAGCUCUGUCACCACACUUCAUCAUCUCCUUCAUCACCAUCAUCAGCGCUUUUCAGUUUACUAAGUGAAUAUACCGAGCUUACUGUUUAACAUCGUAACCCCAAAUGCCAGAUGGGGGCUCCCUUCCUCUUGAGAUCUAUGUGAAAUCACACUGAUAUCCCCGCAAACACACAGACACAUAAAUUCCCAAGUCAAUGACUAUCUAAAAGAUCCACCCUUCACUCCAUUCCUACUAAAUUGGUAGCAGGGAAGAGGUUUUGUUUCUCAGAUUUUCUGCCCCAUGGGCACCCUC